GCUGGGUGUGGUGGUGUGUGCCUGUAAUCCCAGCUACUUGGGAGGCUGAGGCAGGAGAAUCACUUGAACACAGGAGACGGAGGUUGCAGUGAGCUGGCAUUGUGCCACUGCACUCCAGCCUGGGUGACAGAGUGAGACUCUGUCUCAA
Unclassified non-coding RNA from Pongo abelii (Sumatran orangutan), 148 nucleotides. It matches the Rfam family "Metazoan signal recognition particle RNA". From Rfam's summary of the family: The signal recognition particle (SRP) is a universally conserved ribonucleoprotein. It is involved in the co-translational targeting of proteins to membranes. NCBI's taxonomy places the organism in Eukaryota, Metazoa, Chordata, Mammalia, Primates, Hominidae. The record is from Ensembl.